RNAcentral lists this long non-coding RNA (1102 nucleotides) under Homo sapiens (human). Its description in RNAcentral is "HSALNT0257974". The record is from RNAcentral. Lineage: Eukaryota; Metazoa; Chordata; Mammalia; Primates; Hominidae.
GUUGGGGAUGUGCAGAUGGUAGCAGGAGGCUUUGUGAAGGAGAGGCCAAGGGGUUCACCAGGGCCAAACUUGGCAGCCUUGCUCACAGGAGUCUACAGAUGCUGCUAACUCAGCCUCAAUCUCAGACAGACGAUCUCAUCCCCACUGUGAACAAGACGUGUGCUCCUCUAGACAAGCAUGGCUCUGGGGCUGGCAUCUGAUUCCGAUACUUACUGGACCUACAUCUUGCGAUUCUAUCAAGGAUCCAUGCUGCCAUCAGUGACUUUGCUCCUCUGAUUCCUUCCACCCUGAAAAUGCUUUUCCUCCAUUUCUACACACUGUAACUCUCAAUCAAGGAUCUCAAGGAACCCCUCCCACCGAAUAUGGAAUCUCUGCGAAUCUUCCCUGCAUCAUGAGCAUAACUGCUCCAAGUCCGGCAUCCCAGAUGUCUUCCUCUUGCUAGACGUGUCCUCCCCCUGCAGCUGUAUGUGACACACCCAGAGGGGAUUCCUCAGCAUCACCCAGAGGUUGAAGCCUCUGUCAGGAACCAUUCUGUGCUACCUUUCAUUCCCACCCCCAUGCCCCCUCUCCACUCUUCUCCCUGCCCCUGCUCCAGGAGGAAGGAUGUUGUGUCUAUGACAUUCACAAACCCCUGUUUUCCAACAUCUAGUUGGGUUCAACCAACAAAGAGCUAUGGCAGAAAAUUUGCAGGAACCAAAAGAGUGAGGCUCCCUUCCUGGGGAGUCUCCCUGGACUGGCUCUGCUCUUUGAGAAAAAUGUUUGUGAGUUUAAUGUGAAACCCUGAAUGGUUUUAGAAAGAUAAGUGUGCUAGUUGAAGGCUGGUCAGGAAAAGGAUGGUCAACUCUAAUUAGAAUAAGAAAGGGACAAUUCAAUAAACGGACUAUUAUAGUGAAAGCGAACUAAAUGUGGCCUGAGAAGGACUCCCUACUUCUGUAUUUGAGUCCCUGUGGACUAACCACAACCUAACUUAGUAGGUAGAUGAGAUUGAAAACCUAAUUUAGGAGUAUGUACCUGUAACAAUAGCUGAGUCUCAGCCAAUCCAAGCAGCCAUACUUCAACCACUCAUACACUGCUGAGUGUUCAAACUGUGUUCAAAUAAAGC